UGCAUGGCUUAAUCUUUGAGACAAGCAUAUGACUACUGGCAGGAUCAACCAGGUAGCAUUCUUUCUCGACUUCGGACCCGCAUUGAUGCCACGGGCCUAGACGGCCUGCGGUCAAUGAGGUAGCGAGAGUCAUUCUUAUCGAGGGACUUGAUUGGAGCGACCGGAGGCCAAGACCCCCCACGUCCGCUUAAUUUUCCACAUCCGAGAGCACGAGCAGUUGUCCUGUGGACCGAGACAGCCACGACAAAAGUCAGAGGACACCUCCGGGACACGGGGACUGCUUUCGAGGUCCGCAUUGCAGCCGCAAAGCAACAAGGAGGACAGGUGCGGGGCUGUCCGACGAAUUUUUCCAUACAAUGGGAAGGCAACACAGG
Molecule: unclassified non-coding RNA, 374 nt
Filed under: Ficus itoana
Lineage: Eukaryota; Viridiplantae; Streptophyta; Magnoliopsida; Rosales; Moraceae
Description: partial contains external transcribed spacer and 18S ribosomal RNA
Source: RNAcentral